AGCCUGGCUGACACAGCAAGACUCCGUCUCAAAAAAAACAAAAAAAGCACUUACUGGACACCUCCACCUGGAUGUGCCACCACCCUUGGCCUUGCUGGGCCCAGGAGGACCUUCUGCUUCCUCCCAAACCAACAUCUUCUGUGUUACCUAUUCCCGUUCGUGAUGGACUUCUGACGGGCCUGGUCACCCCGGCUCUCUGGGUGUCAGACUCGUGUCUCAGUCAGAAGACUUUCCCUGCUGACGUACGUUCCCUCUAAUUCCACCCUGGCAUUUGUUUCCCAGAAGUCUGGCCUGGGGGCUUUGGAAGUAGCAAGCAGCAAUACAGUAGCAACAAUGAGAGGUGGAGCUGAUAGAAGACACGGUCACUUUGGCUAGGGGUUGGCCUGCACGAGAUGGCGAGAUGGUAAGAUGGCGUGGGUGUGUCCAUCCGAGGUCUCUGCUUCUGGGAGACAAGAUUUCCAUGCAUGAAAUAGAGUCAUGUUUCAGCCCAAGACCGAAAGGGCUGCCAGGGUUAAAGAACUCAGGGCUGCAGAUCAACUGGGAUCCGCUACAUUCAGAGGACAUUGGAGUUUGGAUCUUGCUCAUGGCUGGCAAAGUGUUUAGAUCCUUUUGAAUAUAAGUGGUCCCCUUCUUUUUUUACAUCUUUUACAGAAUUGUCCAGUCUUAUUUCGGGGGCUGGCGGUGGUAUUUGCUCAGUCAGUGAGCUAGAAGCUGUGAGGCCUCACCCACAUUCCCUUUUUUGGGCCAGCACUCCAGCCCCAGCCGCCAGCGCUCAUGGCUGCCCCUUCUCUGGGAUGUCAUCCUUGGCUGGCGGGAGCCAGUUUGCUCCAGGUUUCUGCCAUCCUGCCCCUGCCCCUCAUGACAGAUGCAGAGGCACAGAGGGUGCCCCUGUAUCUCAGGAGGGGUGAAUCUGCCAUGGACACCUGCUGCAUGGAUCAGGCUAAGAUCAGACUUCUGGAAAUCCUCCCCGCUCAGCUGCAUCUCCUUCCAAGCUUUGCUUCACUACUUGCCUUGCGAGUCCUUCCAGAAGAGCAUUCCCUCAUCAAACCACGGGCACCUGAAUUCCCACCUCAGACUCUGCUCCAGGGGCGCAGUGUCUACGGAGGCGACGCUGAGGAUGGCUUCUCAGGUUGGGUCACUCGCCCAGCCACGAGGACCUGACUUAAAAUUGUUGGUGCAUCCUAAGUGUGACCCAGGGACCACCUGCGUCAGAAGCACCUAGAAUGCUGUGGAAGCAUCUUAAAGGCAGAUUCCUGGGCUCAGCCAUGGUUCUGCUGAAUUGGAAUCAACUGGUGAGCCCGAUAAUUGGCAUUUUCAACAGCUUCCAAUCGUACUCUGGAAUAUUCCAGCUUGUGUCCCCGGCUCACUGUUUUUCUCAUCCUCCCUCACUUCCUGCUGAGUACAUAUGUAUUUUGCUACUUUUAGAGAUACUUUUACAAUAAAGGCACUCUUGAAAGCAUUUAAUCAAUUGGAUUGUG
Chlorocebus sabaeus (green monkey) is the source of this 1478-nucleotide non-coding RNA. NCBI's taxonomy places the organism in Eukaryota, Metazoa, Chordata, Mammalia, Primates, Cercopithecidae. The record is from RefSeq and is a predicted model, not a curated record.